Molecule: ribosomal RNA, 445 nt
Filed under: uncultured bacterium
Lineage: Bacteria
Description: partial 16S ribosomal RNA
Rfam family: Bacterial small subunit ribosomal RNA
Source: RNAcentral
CCUACGGGAGGCAGCAGUAGGGAAUUUUCGGCAAUGGGGGGAACCCUGACCGAGCAACGCCGCGUGAACGAAGAAGUUAUUCGUAAUGUAAAGUUCUUUUAACAGGGAAGAAAGAGCAAUUUGACGGUACCUGAAGAAUAAGCUCCGGCUAACUACGUGCCAGCAGCCGCGGUAAUACGUAGGGAGAGAGCGUUAUCCGGAAUUAUUGGGCGUAAGGGUGCGUAGAUGGCAUAGUAAGUCUUUGGUAAAAAUGCUGGGCUAAACCCAGUAGGGCAAAAGAUACUGCAAAGCUAGAGUAUGACAGAGGCAAGUGGAACUACAGGUGUAGCGGUAAAAUGCGUAAAUAUAUGUAAGAACACCAGUGGCGAAGGCGGCUUGCUGGGUCGAUACUGACAUUGAGGCACGAAAGCGUGGGGAGCAAACAGGAUUAGAUACCCCUGUAGUC